GACGAACGCUGGCGGCGUGCCUAAUACAUGCAAGUAGAACGCACAGUUUAUACCGUAGCUUGCUACACCAUAAACUGUGAGUUGCGAACGGGUGAGUAACGCGUAGGUAACCUGCCUGGUAGCGGGGGAUAACUAUUGGAAACGAUAGCUAAUACCGCAUAAUAUUAAUUAUUGCAUGAUAAUUGAUUGAAAGAUGCAAUUGCAUCACUACCAGAUGGACCUGCGUUGUAUUAGCUAGUAGGUGAGGUAACGGCUCACCUAGGCGACGAUACAUAGCCGACCGGAGAGGGUGAUUGGCCACACUGGGACUGAGACACGGCCCAGACUCCUACGGGAGGGAGCAGUAGGGAAUCGUCGGCAAUGGACGAAAGUCUGACCGAGCAACGCCGCGGGAGGGAAGAAGGGUUUCGGAUCGUAAAGCUCGGUUGUAAGAGAAGAACGGGUGUGAGAGUGGAAAGUUCACACUGUGACGGUAUCUUACCAGAAAGGGACGGCUAACUACGUG
This 505-nucleotide ribosomal RNA is filed under the name uncultured bacterium. Its description in RNAcentral is "partial 16S ribosomal RNA". It matches the Rfam family "Bacterial small subunit ribosomal RNA", at positions 28 to 507 of the family's 1533-position model. The record is from RNAcentral.